UUUCGAAUCAUUCACAAUGGGCGAAAGCCUGAUGGUGCGACGCCGCGUGAGGGAUGAAGGUCUUCGGAUUGUAAACCUCUGUCACUGGGGAGAAAACGCUUCAAUUUAACAAACUGAAGCCUGAUUUAACCCGGAGAGGAAGCAGUGGCUAACUCUGUGCCAGCAGCCGCGGUAAUACAGAGACUGCAAGCGUUAUUCGGAUUCACUGGGCGUAAAGGGUGCGCAGGCGGUUGGGUGUGUCAGAUGUGAAAUCCCGAGGCUCAACCUCGGAACUGCGUCUGAAACUACUCGACUAGAGUACUGGAGAGGGUAACGGAAUUCACGGUGUAGCAGUGAAAUGCGUAGAUAUCGUGAGGAACACCAGAGGCGAAGGCGGUUACCUGGACAGUUACUGACGCUCAGGCACGAAAGCAUGGGGAGCAAAAGGG
RNAcentral lists this ribosomal RNA (428 nucleotides) under uncultured bacterium. RNAcentral's name for it is "bacterial SSU rRNA". It matches the Rfam family "Bacterial small subunit ribosomal RNA", at positions 355 to 776 of the family's 1533-position model. The record is from RNAcentral.